CUACGGGAGGCUCCAGUGGGGAAUAUUGCACAAUGGGCGCAAGCCUGAUGCAGCCAUGCCGCGUGUAUGAAGAAGGCCUUCGGGUUGUAAAGUACUUUCAGCGGGGAGGAAGGGAGUAAAGUUAAUACCUUUGCUCAUUGACGUUACCCGCAGAAGAAGCACCGGCUAACUCCGUGCCAGCAGCCGCGGUAAUACGGAGGGUGCAAGCGUUAAUCGGAAUUACUGGGCGUAAAGCGCACGCAGGCGGUUUGUUAAGUCAGAUGUGAAAUCCCCGGGCUCAACCUGGGAACUGCAUCUGAUACUGGCAAGCGUGAGUCUCGUAGAGGGGGGUAGAAUUCCAGGUGUAGCGGUGAAAUGCGUAGAGAUCUGGGGGAAUACCGGUGGCGAAGGCGGCCCCCUGGACGAAGACUGACGCUCAGGUGCGAAAGCGUGGGGAGCAAACAGGAUUAGAUACCCUUGUAGUC
Molecule: ribosomal RNA, 464 nt
Filed under: uncultured bacterium
Lineage: Bacteria
Description: partial 16S ribosomal RNA
Rfam family: Bacterial small subunit ribosomal RNA
Source: RNAcentral